UAGAUAUACUGUAUAGAGAGAGACUAGUGACAUAUUAUGAUAUUAUUGUGGUACAUAUUGUAUUUAUAUUAUUAGUAAAAAUGUUGAUCAGUUAGACACAAUGGAUGAAUCAUUUACUGAUCUUGAUUCUACUCUCAAUACUUGUACACUAUCAGUAGCUCCUCCUUUUCCUCCUACUCCAAUGAGAGGUCCUCCCACUAAAAGACAAGCAUUAGGAUAUGGACAUUCAUUUAGUUCAAUGGAUCUCACUAAAUUAGGAUCCACUGGUACUCUCUGAUACUGUUCAUGUAUCCCAUUAGAUUGUUAUAUUUUAUUUUUAUAAUUCUCUCCUCUCUCAUCAUUGUUGUGUCUUUCUUUAUUAAUUAUUAUUACUUAACUACAUUGCAUUUAACUCUCCCUCUAUAACUGUCUCAUAGCCCAAGCUAAUUUAGUUUAAUUUUCUUGCAAUUGUUUACUUUUAUUAUCAUCAAAAA
This is a long non-coding RNA of Amphimedon queenslandica, 473 nucleotides long. RefSeq lists it as uncharacterized. The transcript is spliced from 2 exons. NCBI's taxonomy places the organism in Eukaryota, Metazoa, Porifera, Demospongiae, Haplosclerida, Niphatidae. The record is from RefSeq and is a predicted model, not a curated record.